This is a non-coding RNA of Saimiri boliviensis boliviensis (Bolivian squirrel monkey), 1949 nucleotides long. The record is from RefSeq and is a predicted model, not a curated record. Lineage: Eukaryota; Metazoa; Chordata; Mammalia; Primates; Cebidae.
AGAAUCUGGUCCAUUAUAACACAGAAGUAAAGGGCUCGCUCAAGUGAGAGAGUGAGCUGGGAGCUUUCGACCAUUCUCUGCUAUCUUCCUGGGUACACAGAAGCUCUAAAACAGAAGUGUAACUCCAGAGAAAGGAACAGAAUACGAACCCAAGAGUUCAGGUCUAUGUUUUGGAUCAUUAAUAUGCAAAUUACUUCAUGUAUUUAUAACAUAAAUUCUGUGUGCCCCAGUGAUGACAGCUAAUGAGAUACUCUCACUCAUGACUGGUCCAAAACUGGAAAGAAAAUCUCCUGGUCCAGGUGAAGAAGUCCAGUGAAUGCGGGACCGAGGCCCUCUGGUGGAGGAACGGAGGAAGUCUCCGGCCCUGAAGGAGGCCAGGCUGGAUGAGGCAACGCAGCCACUGGGUGCGUAUUCCCAGUUAAGCCUUCGAAGCAAAUACAAGUUUUUCUCAAACUGUUUUUAGUUUAUUCCUGGAGAGAGUUUAGGAUUCAGAAGCAAAUUCCUCCUCAAGCUGGGAAGAAUCCUGCUUGUAAGCAAAGAAGCCACAGUAACCACAGAGCGGAGAAACCUGAAGCUAUAGCCCACUGCAAUCAACGUGGCACCCAGAAGGGUCCCCUGCCCACCACAGAUCAAUCCAACAGCAGAAAGAGGUGAAACAGGCACAUCUUAAAGUGCCCAAAUGCAAAACACAAUUCUCAGGAAAGCCUAUGUCAUCCAAACAUGUUUAAAUCACAUAAUUUAAGCGAUUAUUCAACUAAUCGCUUCCACUGUUGCCAUGAGAGCAGAAAAAGAAAAACGUUAAAGUACAUGGAUAAUCAGAACAAAAGAAGGAAGUUAACUUGCAAGAAUUCCAUUCCAAAUGCUAUGAGAUAACCCAGUUUGAGAGCGGCAAACAAAACCCACAUGAUUGCCUUUAUAUCUCCAAACUGUUCGUUUAUUCUUAAAAUGUUGAGAUCAAUUAAAAAAUCUAGAAGGAACUGUUGCUUAAAACUCCACUGCAGAAUGAAGAUAAGAGAGCCAAGGAAUCUCCCAAUCUCCCUGUUUUUUGAGGGUUUCCACAGACCACUGACAUUAGGUCAUUUAUUCCAUGUCAACACCCUUGCCUGAGACAGUGCAAUGAUGUCAGAAUUCAUUAUGGUAAACUAUUCUCAAAACAAAUGUUCCUGCCAGCAUUCGCGCAGCAGGCACUCUGGCAAGCUGUCAGAACUUGGGGUUCAUCUCCUGCACUUUGCUGCACAAGCUUCCUGAGCUGGGUGCAUUUCCUUCCAUGUGGAAUGGUUCCCAACAGCUCGGCUGGGACCAAGGAGGAAAGGGCCGGCGGGUCCCCAGAACACCAGCUGCUUGUCCCACCUGACAGGCAGGCAGAGCUCUGCUUUCGCUUACCAGUAUCACGGUCCUCAGCCCAUGAUGGAGAGCUCAGGCCACGGUCCCACAGCCUUGCUCUCAUUCAAAUCCUUGCUCUCCCGUUGGCAGGAAAGCCUACCACUUUUCAUGGGGACAGAGUCUACUCUUCCCUUGACCUACUUCCAUCCUUUCUUCUAUCUUUCGCAUCUGGUUUCAUCCUCCUCCUGCUGAACCUCCUUCCAGGGCUUGUCUGCUGACUUGCCAGCACUCGACCCUCCCUCUUGACCCUCUAUCGUGGCAACGGGCUCCCGUUUCCCCGUGGGCCCCAUGGCAGCAACUCUCCAGGCUGGCCUCUGAAAUGGACAUUCUAACGUAGGAGCUUAUCGCGCCUGGUUUGUUCCUGUUCUACGACUCUGAACCACAUUCUCAGCUCUUUAAUAUUGCCAUCUGUCCCUCUGUAAUCAAACCAAGGGGGAAAUGUAACUGGGAAGAAAGCCAGAGCGCCAAAAUCAAAAUGGAAAACCAAGUCUUGGAGAAACCUGGGGACUUGAGAAUUGUUUCAGCUUGUGAUGGGUGGUUACUUCAAUCACGAGCUCCAAACGUUU